AAAAGUAAAAGUCGUAACAAGGUUUCCGUAGGUGAACCUGCGGAAGGAUCAUUAAGAAACUAGUCGUCUGCGUAGGGGCAACCCUUUUACCGCGGGGUAAGCUUACUAGUACACCCUUUAAUAAACUACCUUCGUUUCUUUUGUGGGCCGCCGUUCUGCGGCCAGCGGCUCCGGCUGCUGCGCGCCCGCCAGGGGACCACAACUCUUUUUUUUAGUGAUGUCUGGGUACUAUAUAAUAGUUAAAACUUUCAACAACGGAUCUCUUUGUUCUGGCAUCGAUGAAGAACGCAGCGAAAUGCGAUAAGUAAUGUGAAUUUCAGAAUUCAGUGAAUCAUCGAAUCUUUUAACGCACAUUUCGCCCCCUGGUAUUCCGGGGGGCAUGCCUGUUCGGGCGUCAUUAUAACCACUCACGCUCUCGCGUGGUAUUUGGGUUCGCGGUCUCGCGGCCCCUAAAGUCAGUGGCGGUGCCUGUCGGCUCUACGCGUAGUAAUACUCCUCGCGAUUUAGUCCGGUGGGUAGCUUUCCAACAACCCCCAAAUUUUUUCAGGUUUACCUCGGAUCAGGUAGGGAUACCCGCUGAACUUAAGCAUAUCAAUAAGCGGGGGAAAA
This 609-nucleotide ribosomal RNA is filed under the name Cephalosporium sp. DBOF27. RNAcentral describes it as "eukaryotic LSU rRNA". The stretch from base 244 to 397 matches the Rfam family "5.8S ribosomal RNA". Lineage: Eukaryota; Fungi; Ascomycota; Sordariomycetes; Hypocreales. The record is from RNAcentral.